This 1082-nucleotide long non-coding RNA is filed under the name Oryza brachyantha (malo sina). RNAcentral's name for it is "long non-coding RNA (OBRA_LNC002837)". Lineage: Eukaryota; Viridiplantae; Streptophyta; Magnoliopsida; Poales; Poaceae. The record is from RNAcentral.
AUGCAAUUAUAUAUAGAGAGAUGUGCUAUAGAUUAGUUAAUCUAUAGUAAUAUAAAAAACAGCAGUUUGAUUUUUGCUAGAUGCACUCGAAAGAAGUGUACACGGAAUAUUUUGAGCCAUAAGAUCUUCCUAUGGAACGGUUCAGAUCGCAACAUUCCAGAUGUGUCUUGCAAUCCAACAUGGAACUCACCCGAUCUGCAGAGCGAUGGCUUUACUGCCCGUCUUCCCCCAAAUCCGCUAGAAAUUGCAGUUGCACCGCUCUAUGCCUUCAUCUGCAAGGAGAUUGCAACCUCCCCCUAAAUCACGCUGAGCUCAAAAUCCGUUGCAUGUAACACUGCCACCGGCAACAGCGAUAAGAGAGGCCUCAUUGUCGCUCACGAUUCAGUCACCAUCAUGUCCAAUGAAUUGAAGCACAAAGUAUUCAAAGUAAGACUGGUACCCUUUUUUUUUUGUAAUUCUUGUUCUAUAUAUCAUCCAUUUGUCAUAUCUUGUCAUGUUGACGUUUUGUUUUAUUUCACUGCAUAGCUUGAAGGGAGAUGAUUGGAUUCUGAUGUCGAAACUCGAUUAGGAUCUGCUCUGCUUCUGCAAUCUGGCCAAAUAAAAUGUAAGAUUAUUUUCUUCUAAGUUGAUAUUGUUAGUAGCAGGGAUGUUAUAUGAUUAGAAUUUAGAAAGCCAGCACGAAUUGUUGUUACUAGUUGUUACUGAAGGUUAUAUACGUCUCACUUCAACUUUUGUUGUAUGUAUCUAUCAGAAAGAGUUUAAUGCUUAAGUUGUUGGACCUACACCAAGAUUACUGUAAGAAAUUCAAAACGAAUGAAUGAACACAAAUAACACAGUGAAACACUCGCUAUGAAGAACGGACAAAUCCUGGCUAAUCUUCGUAUUUGUUAGAGAGUGAAAUCUGUUGAGAAUAUGAUCAGCAUCCAAGGCGCUAGCAACUGCAUGCAAGCAACUGCCUCCGCACCCACGAUCAACAACUGCCAUGCAGUUACCUGUAUCAUGUAUAAAUAUGUACGGUGACCCAUCAAUAAAGAAUAGUUCUUUUCUACGGUCAUUUUACUUCAACACGUUAUCAAGCUCGC